ACGAACAAAACGCCGCUAUUCGGAUAUAACGAUGGAUUAUUUUGGACCAAACCAACAUUUGUUAUUGAAGUAGCAGUCCUGGGAGUGCAUUCUGACGAAGACAACAAAAGGACGUGCAGACUGGCAGUCCCCAUGUUGAAAGGACAAAGACCACCUACAGAACUAAGCCAACAUCAGCAAGAACCUAAUGCAAUUGGCAUCGAAUUUCAAUGUGAAGGUGACGACCUACACGCCAGGAGGAUGAAUUUCAACUAUACCAGCCAGAAUAUAGCAUGAGCUUAAAAGUAUGGCAACUUGGUAUGAACUUUGAACUCUUAUUGACUCCAGAAGUGAUACCUCCUAGCCGUUGAGUUAGCAGCAGUCGUGCUAAACGUGGGCUAGGAGAGGACUGACAGAGUAUCCAUUCUACCACGCUCCAGGUCACCACUAGACAGUCUUCAGAGGACCAGAGAUCCAUGCUGGACAACCUGGCCUCCCAUCUACGACCAACCGAUCGAAGUGCAGCUCAGAGACCUGAGCCCUAGGACCAUGCCUCAGGACUACCUGGCAUGAUGACUCCUUGCUGUCCCCAGUCCACCUGGCCAUGCUGCUGCUCCAGUUUCAACUGUUCUGCCUGCGGCUAUGGAACCCUGACCUGUUCACCGGACGUGCUUGUUGCACCCUCGACAACUACUAUGAUUAUUAUUAUUUGACCAUGCUGGUCAUUUAUGAACAUUUUAACAUUUUGACCAUGUUCUGUUAUAAUAUCCACCCGGCACAGCCAGAAGAGGACUGGCCACCCCUCAUAGCCUGGUUCCUCUCUAGGUUUCUUCCUAGGUUUUUGGCCUUUCUAGGGAGUUUUUCCUAGGGAGUUUUUCCUAGCCACCGUGCUUCUUUCACAUGCAUUGCUUGCUGUUUGGGGUUUUAGGCUGGGUUUCUGUACAGCACUUUGAGAUAUCAGCUGAUGUAUGUAGGGCUAUAUAAAUACAUUUGAUUUGAUUUGAUUUAAGUUUGGGGUUGUUUUUCAGGGUUUUUUUUGUUUGAGGUGCAUUUCGGGGUCUGCACCUUUGGGGGGGGGGGGGGGGUACUGUCACGUCCUUACCAGUAAAAGGGGUUAUUUCUUAUUGUAGUUUGGUCAGGGCGUGGCAGGGGGUGUUUUUCUGUGUGUUUUCGGGUUAUGAUCUAUGUUCUUCUAUUUCUAUGUUUAUUCUAGGGUAUCUAUUUCUAUGUUGGAAUUGUUUGGGGUUGGUCUCUAAUUGGAGGCAGCUGAAUCUCGUUGCCUCUGAUUAGAGACCAUAUUUAAGUAGUUUUUUUUUUCAUUGUGUUUGUGGGUGGUUACAUUUCUGUUUAGUUGUCUAACCUGACAGAACUGUGGGCUGUCGUUUUUGUUUCUUUGUUUAUAGUGUUCUCUGUUUAAUAAAUACAAGAUGAGCACUAACCACGCUGCGCCGUGGUCUACUCCCUUCAACAGCCAUUACACAAGUUCCCUUCAGUGUAAUAUGAUAAGGGGUAAAACCUAAUGAUCCUGGGUGUUGUAAGGCAUAAAAGGUAGAUAGUGGCUCUGACUGAAAUGAAACUGAAAUAUCUGUUGUUUGACACCACUGAGGGAUGAUCUGAAAUGGGAGUAAACAGUGCUAGAUAGACAAGGUUCACCACACUGUAAUAGCAAGCUGGCUAUUCCUUUUGUGUCAAUCUUUAAUAAUAUUGGUUGUUGACUGUUUCUUAAAAAAAAUUAAGUCUAUUUGUUCUGUCAAAUCCAUUAGACUUUCGCUCAUAACGUUCUUUGUUUGAGAAUUGAUCCCAUUUCUUCUUGGUCAAAAUGUUCUCCAGUCAAGAGACCGGCUGGCCAAAGGGUCAUGCUCUCUGUGGAUUAUCUCAUUUCAAGACAAGUAUAUCCACACAGAAAGAGGAAAUGACAAGCCCUGCUAUAUUUCAGCUGCAUUUUGGUCGAUUCAACACGGCGAUUUCUGUGACAGAAUCUCCCACCACAAAAGGACCAAGCAGCGGAGAAGGGAGCGAUGGGAAUAUGAUAUGGACUGUCGGGAAAAGGAGACAUGGGCAGAGUUGAGGAUAGGCAUUUCCAGGGCUGUGGAGGAUUUAAGGGAGCCCGAGAGGCAGCCCCAAGAUUUUUUUUUUGGGGGGGGCACACGGGUAGUUUGGCUGGGCGAGGAGUGAGCCCCAGGCCAAAUCCCCGUACCUUUUUUGGGCAACCAGUGACUGGACAGGUCCGUGCUUCGGGGUAAUGGGUACUGUGGCGAGGCCAAGUAUUUUUAGGCCAGUACGAGCAGUACCAGCGCCCCGCAUUUGCCAGGGGGAAGUGGGCAUCCAGCCAGUAAGAGCGAUGCCAGUUCUGCGCUCAAGACCGCCAGUACGCCUCUACGGUCCAGUGCGUCAGCCUAGUCUGACUCGUCCUUUUCCCGCUCCCCGCACUAGCCCUGAGGUGCGUGUUUCCAGGCUGAUACCUCCAGUACCAGCACCACGCAUCAGGCUUCCAGUGCGUCAACCCAGUCCGACUCGGCCUGGUCCCGCUCCCCGCACUAGCCCUGAGGUGCGUGUUCCCAGGCUGAUACCUCCAGUACCAGCACCACGCAUCAGGCUUCCAGUGCGUCAACCCAGUCCGACUCGGCCUGUUCCCGCUCCCCGCACUAGCCCUGAGGUGCGUGUCCCCAGACUGGCACAUCCAGUACCAGUACCACGGAUCAGGCUUCCAGUGCGUCAGCCCAGCCUCGAGAGUUCGGCACCAGUGUGCAGUCCAGAGUAUCCGGCACCAGUGUGCAGUCCAGAGUAUCCGGCACCAGUGUGCAGUCCAGAG
RNAcentral lists this long non-coding RNA (2791 nucleotides) under Salmo salar (Atlantic salmon). Its description in RNAcentral is "lncRNA (ENSSSAG00000094223.1)". The record is from RNAcentral. Lineage: Eukaryota; Metazoa; Chordata; Actinopteri; Salmoniformes; Salmonidae.